RNAcentral lists this ribosomal RNA (436 nucleotides) under uncultured bacterium. RNAcentral describes it as "partial 16S ribosomal RNA". It matches the Rfam family "Bacterial small subunit ribosomal RNA", at positions 29 to 507 of the family's 1533-position model. The record is from RNAcentral.
AACGAACGCUGGCGGCAUGCCUAACACAUGCAAGUCGAACGAGAUCCUUCGGGGUCUAGUGGCGCACGGGUGCGUAACGCGUGGGAAUCUGCCCUUAGGUUCGGAAUAACAGUUAGAAAUGACUGCUAAUACCGGAUGAUGACGUUAAGUCCAAAGAUUUAUCGCCUGAGGAUGAGCCCGCGUAGGAUUAGCUAGUUGGUGUGGUAAAGGCGCACCAAGGCGACGAUCCUUAGCUGGUCUGCGAGGAUGAUCAGCCACACUGGGGCUGAGACACGGCCCAGACUCCUACGGGAGGGAGCAGUGGGGAAUAUUGGGCGAUGGGGGCAAGCCUGAUCCAGCAGUGCCGCGUGAGUGAUGAAGGCCUUAGGGUUGUAAAGCUCUUUUACCCGGGAUGAUAAUGACGGUACCGGGAGAAUAAGCCCCGGCUAACUACGUG